Molecule: ribosomal RNA, 485 nt
Filed under: uncultured Lactobacillus sp.
Lineage: Bacteria; Bacillati; Bacillota; Bacilli; Lactobacillales; Lactobacillaceae
Description: partial 16S ribosomal RNA
Source: RNAcentral
CACGUAGUUAGCCGUGACUUUCUAAGUAAUUACCGUCAAAUAAAGGCCAGUUACUACCUCUAUCUUUCUUCACUACCAACAGAGCUUUACGAGCCGAAACCCUUCUUCACUCACGCGGCGUUGCUCCAUCAGACUUUCGUCCAUUGUGGAAGAUUCCCUACUGCUGCCUCCCGUAGGAGUUUGGGCCGUGUCUCAGUCCCAAUGUGGCCGAUCAGUCUCUCAACUCGGCUAUGCAUCAUUGCCUUGGUAAGCCGUUACCUUACCAACUAGCUAAUGCACCGCAGGUCCAUCCAAGAGUGAUAGCAGAACCAUCUUUCAAACUCUAGACAUGCGUCUAGUGUUGUUAUCCGGUAUUAGCAUCUGUUUCCAGGUGUUAUCCCAGUCUCUUGGGCAGGUUACCCACGUGUUACUCACCCGUCCGCCGCUCGCUUGUAUCUAGUUUCAUUUAGUGCAAGCACUAAAAUCAUCUAGGCAAGCUCGCUCGA